AAAGUAACACACCCACCCGCGAAAGAUAAGGUUGAUACAGUUAAGAGUUUAGUAGAGCAAAGCAAUAACUAUUAACUAACUAACAAUGCCGUUGACAGCUACAGUUUGUGCUCUCAACUCUUUCUCGACCAUCGUCACCGCGCAAUCUUCAUUCCCUCCAAAACGCAACCUUCCCAUUUCCUCUUCUCACAUUUUCUCUCGCAGAGACAUAGCUUUACUUUCACUCUUCUCUCUAUCUGCUGCGCCUGCCUCCGCCAUUGACUUCGGCAUCUCAGGACCAAAGGAUUGGCUAAAAGAACAAAAGAAGAAAUCCUUCAAGUUUCUACUAGCUCCCGUCGACGCUUCCCGCGAAAGCCUUCGCUCUGUCUAUCUUUAUCUCACUGCGGAAACUGGUGCUUCUUAUACCGAUGAGGAUUUGCAGAAAUUUCAGGAGCUAUUCAGAUCUGCUGCCAGGGAUUGCGUCCCAGAGGAUCGGAAUUCCUUUGUUGCUUUCCAAGCUAACACUGGAGUUGAGGUGUGCACAUUUAGGUUGAUUGUGAAGAAUGCAGCCUCGUUGCUUGGAAAGAAGGAUCCUGUGAAGUUAGAAGCUGAAGCUUUGCUAGAUAAUCUUAUAAGAUCUUUCGCCUCUAUCAGUGGGAUGGCAAGUGAAACAAACAUUGAACUUGCAUCAGAUAGGAGAAAGAUAGCAGAUGCCGUAUCGGAUACAAUAACAUGUCUUGACAAAUUUGAGCAAGGAAUCAGGGAUUGCCUCGAAAUCUAACUGUAAAUAGCCUGUUCUACUUUUCAAAGUGGAAGGUUGAUUUUUAAAAUGUCAUUUAAAACUUUGAUCGGGUGAACCAGAAGCUUCCACCAAAUACAAGCGACAGCAUGGUGUUCCGUCAUCUGGAUUGGUUUCUAAUGACCUAGGCAAGCUUCGGAGCUUGUUGAAGAGAUUUAACGGAUCAGUCAAGAGGCCGAAAUGGGCAUCUGGGUCUCCAAUUUGUGAAAGUUUUACAUGAUUGAAGCCAAUAGAUGGCAAGAGUUGGUCUGGCCAAUCACUGUAAAAUUGGAAUACUGAAUUGGAUAGCGUGGUUGAUGACUUAUUCAUAAAGUCCGCUAAGAUGACUGUGUGGGUUAAGACGCAAUUGUUAGCUAAAAUCCUUAGCAGUUGCAUGGCGUUGGAUUGGGCGAGGUAGUACAGGAUACCUUCUAGAAUCCAAACUGUGCUCUUCUGUGGCAAAAAACCUGCAAUUUGAAGCUUUUCCAUCCAAUCAUUUUCUCUUAUGUCAGCUGCUACUCUGGUUAAUGAUUUUGCUUUAGACACACUAUAUUGUGACUCGUAUGCGGAUUCCUUAGCUGCUUGCAGAAUAGUGCUCUUCAACUCCAAGACUUCGGGAAAAUCAACCUCAAAGACAUUGCUGUCCUUUAAGCAACUCAAACGAUAUGCUCUUGUGUCCAUUCCUGCAUAAAUUUUGCAAUAGUAUAUAUGUUAGCUAGCUCAGAAGAGUAUAACCCUUGUUCAGAUCUUCAAGGUUUCAUUGUCAGUGAUAAUGAUUAGCUUCUGGUCAGACUGGCGUUGGUCCAAAUUUGUCCUGUCUAAUGAUCGUUUGGAACGUAAGUGCUCUUGUUUAAAAUGUGUUGUUACAUUUUAAUCCGGUCUGAAAGGUCCUGCUUGUAUCCACAAAUUGACUAGGAAUAAAAUAAAUGAAGAUAAUAUGAAAGAUGUCA
RNA transcript from Trifolium pratense (red clover), 1707 nucleotides. RefSeq lists it as uncharacterized. The transcript has 7 exons. The record is from RefSeq and is a predicted model, not a curated record. Lineage: Eukaryota; Viridiplantae; Streptophyta; Magnoliopsida; Fabales; Fabaceae.